GAUGAACGCUAGCGAUAGGCUUAACACAUGCAAGUCGAGGGGUAACAGGGUUGCUUGCAACCGCUGACGACCGGCGCACGGGUGCGUAACGCGUAUGCAACUUUACCUUUAUAGAGGGGGAUAGCCCGUUUAACGACGGAUUAAUACCGCAUAUACAAACAGCUCGGCAUCGAGCAAUUUGGAAAUGAAUUUCGCUAUAAGAAUAGGCAUGCGUCCCAUUAGCUAGUUGGUGAGGUAAUGGCUCACCAAGGCGACGAUGGGUAGGGGAACUGAGAGGUUUGAUCCCCCACACUGGUACUGAGACACGGACCAGACUCCUACGGGAGGCAGCAGUGAGGAAUAUUGGUCAAUGGACGCAAGUCUGAACCAGCCAAAUCGCGUGAAGGAUGACUGUCUUAUGGAUUGUAAACUUCUUUUAUACGGGAAUAAUCACAGAUACGCGUAUUUGUUUGAAUGUACCGUAUGAAUAAGCAUCGGCUAACUCCGUGCCAGCAGCCGCGGUAAUACGGAGGAUGCGAGCGUUAUCCGGAUUUAUUGGGUUUAAAGGGUGCGUAGGUGGUUUGAUAAGUCAGCGGUGAAAUCUCCGAACUCAACUCGGACACUGCCGUUGAAACUGUUGAACUUGAGUGUAGAUGAGGUAGGCGGAAUGCGUGGUGUAGCGGUGAAAUGCAUAGAUAUCACGCAGAACUCCGAUUGCGAAGGCAGCUUACUAAGGUACAACUGACACUGAAGCACGAAAGCGUGGGUAUCAAACAGGAUUAGAUACCCUGGUAGUCCACGCUGUAAACGAUGAUUACUGGGCGUAUGCGAUAUACAGUAUGCUCCUAAGCGAAAGCGUUAAGUAAUCCACCUGGGGAGUACGCCGGCAACGGUGAAACUCAAAGGAAUUGACGGGGGCCCGCACAAGCGGAGGAACAUGUGGUUUAAUUCGAUGAUACGCGAGGAACCUUACCUGGGUUUAAACUUUGAUUGACCGCUCAAGAGAUUGAGUUUCCCUUAUGGGCAAUCAUUUAGGUGCUGCAUGGUUGUCGUCAGCUCGUGCCGUGAGGUGUCGGCUUAAGUGCCAUAACGAGCGCAACCCCUGUCUGCGGUUACCAUCAGGUCAAGCUGGGGACUCCGCAGAGACUGCCGUCGUAAGGCGCGAGGAAGGUGGGGAUGACGUCAAAUCAGCACGGCCCUUACAUCCAGGGCGACACACGUGUUACAAUGGUGAGGACGAAAGGGAGAGCUACUAGGCGACUAGGUGCAAAUCUCAAAACCUCAUCACAGUUUCGGAUCGGAGUCUGCAACUCGAACUCCGUGAAAGCUGGAUUCGCUAGUAAUCGCGCCUCAGCCAUGGCGCGGUGAAUACGUUCCCGGGCCU
Molecule: ribosomal RNA, 1363 nt
Filed under: uncultured bacterium
Lineage: Bacteria
Description: bacterial SSU rRNA
Rfam family: Bacterial small subunit ribosomal RNA
Source: RNAcentral